CUACGCUAUGGGCUCUCAGAGCAUCUCCAACUCAACGUGGAGGAAUCUGGUGCCGCCAAGAAUGGGGUGACAAUGGGAUCGCACACACGCAGAGGCAGAUGCCUGGACUGUGCGUACUGAUUCCUGCUGGGCCCCUGGCUGAUUCUGCUACGCAACCAAUGCGGCCCGCGUACCCACUCCCACUCGAGACCCUGAAGGACUGUGUGGAUGGAAAAGCUCAAACUCCGAGUCCAGAUCCUAACAGCUAAUGCUAUUGAGUACUUCCAUAUGCUGAUUACUGUGCAAGUUGCCUUCCACAUUAUUCCAUGGAAUCUUCACAAAAUCUCUAGAGGGGAACUAAAACGUGACUAUUGGAAUUACAGGAGUGGAGGAAAAUCGAGGAGAUGUUUUGAAAGCCAAGGGCGAAUCUAGCAGACAUGUAGCAAAUUGACCUCUGUAACAAUCAAGGAGACAACAGAAGGAAAGUAAGCACUAAUUGGGCUCCAGUUCUGUCUCAAGCGCUCUGCUGGACUAGGUUGCCAUGGUUGGUAAAUAAAACAGUCUUUGGGACCCUGA
This is a long non-coding RNA of Herpailurus yagouaroundi (jaguarundi), 555 nucleotides long. RefSeq lists it as uncharacterized. The transcript has 4 exons. The record is from RefSeq and is a predicted model, not a curated record. Lineage: Eukaryota; Metazoa; Chordata; Mammalia; Carnivora; Felidae.